AAGAAUGACGGAAGGGCCCAUCAGGUCUGGAUUGUGCGGCUCAAUUGGAUUCAACGCCCGAAACCCCACCAGGACAGGAGCGCUCGAUGAAGCACCGGCCGAAUACCUCUGCCGAUGAGCGUGCAGUUGGUGCAUGGCCGCCGUAGUUCGUGAGGUGACUUGUCUGGUUUAUUCCGACAACGAACGCAACCACAAUGCUCUACUAUCCGGCGAGCCCCUCGCGGGUCCGCAAGAAACUGGAGCAGACCAAUCGCUCGACGGGCUCUAGCCCAAGGCGAAGGAAGCUAUGGCGAUGGCAGGUCUGUGAUGCCGCUAGAUGCCCUGGAUCGCACGCGCAAUACAAUGGCGACCCAAGCGCGCAGGUUCGUCCGAGAGGACUUACAAAUCGCACGAAAAGUC
This 399-nucleotide ribosomal RNA is filed under the name uncultured Paramyxida. RNAcentral's name for it is "SSU rRNA". It matches the Rfam family "Eukaryotic small subunit ribosomal RNA", at positions 1154 to 1563 of the family's 1831-position model. The record is from RNAcentral. Lineage: Eukaryota; Endomyxa; Ascetosporea.